Molecule: long non-coding RNA, 1170 nt
Organism: Equus quagga
Lineage: Eukaryota; Metazoa; Chordata; Mammalia; Perissodactyla; Equidae
Exons: 3
Source: RefSeq, a predicted model, not a curated record
GAGGCUGGAGCCAUCCUUGGAGGAGCUGGAACAUGCAAUGGCAGAGUUGAAUAGCUGCCCAUGUGGCCUGCAAAGACAAACAUAUUUACUAUAUCACCAUUUGCUGAAAAUGUUUGCAGAUGCCUGAGUACCUCAUUCCCUCCACUAAGGAAGUGACGGCAGAACCUCAGAUUUAUCAGCCUCACAGUAAAUCCAGCUCUGCACCAGUGAAUGAUGUGGGAAUAAAGAGAAGCACCUCCAUCCUAGAUAGAUUUUUAGGCCUAAGCAUUUCUGUAGCAAGAGGCAAUGACAGCAGCUACUGGGACAAAAGAUUCAACAGGUUGACUCCCCUGAAGGCAGCCUUUGGUUCCAGGAGCAUGGGGCUCCGAAGAAUUGGAAAGGUGGCGAAAUGUUGGCAGGGAAGAGGGUCAUGACUGGCUUGGCACUUCCAUUAAUUUGAAAAUUGUGCAAGAUGGAUGUCUCAAAUGCUGCACCCUGAGAGAAAGAGCACACCAUCAGAGUUUGAGUAUGAUGACAAGAUUCUUGUGUAUGUCACUCAGGAUACUAAAGACAAGGGAGUGAUACUAUUUCUUUCAUGUGUGGACUCCUCCAUCUCAUUCAGUGUACCAUACACGGCACACAUUGUGGAAGACCCUUCGUGCCCCAGUUAAACUCUUGUUGGGUAUCACUCCCGGUGAAAUUUGAGUGCAUUGAUAGUAGGCUAUGUACAUCCCAGUGAGACUGAAACCAGACCGAUGGUCUGCAUCUCUCGCCUUCUGUCUGACACCUCAGUGUCUCUGCCCUCGUAGUAGCAGUCAUAUCCACACCUGAUGAACCACCCACCACAGGUUCUCUGCGACACAGAGAAGAGGAGUGAUGUGCGUACUUGGUGGGUUGGGAUAAAGAAGUGGGUCUGGGUAGUGUUCUCCCUUCUUCCAUUCCCGUCUGUUAUUAGAGGCAGCAACCCCCCAGAGAGCACAUAUUCUGGCAUGCCCUCCCCACCAUGGUUCCACAGGGCCACACCCCUCCUCGGGAGGCUGGAGGUGGAGGUCUGGUUUGGGAGGUUGACUAGGAGGAAACCCAUUUUUCUGCCUUUCAAUCUAACUUUUAUCAGGCACAAAUUGUAUAUUUUUAUUCCCUUUUGCUUGACUUCUCUAUCCAUCUCUCAAUUGUUUCCAAAUUCAGGUAAGA